UAACCUACGGGACGCAGCAGUGGGGAAUAUUGCGCAAUGGGCGAAAGCCUGACGCAGCGACGCCGCGUGAGGGAUGAAGGUCUUCGGAUCGUAAACCUCUGUCAGCAGGGAAGAACGGUCACUGUGCUAAUCAGCAGUGAAUUGACGGUACCUGCAAAGGAAGCACCGGCUAACUCCGUGCCAGCAGCCGCGGUAAUACGGAGGGUGCGAGCGUUAAUCGGAAUUCCUGGGCGUAAAGCGCUCGUAGGCGGGAUGUCAAGUCAAGGGUGAAAUCCCCGCGCUCAACGUGGUACCUGCCUUUUAAA
This 305-nucleotide ribosomal RNA is filed under the name uncultured bacterium. Its description in RNAcentral is "bacterial SSU rRNA". It matches the Rfam family "Bacterial small subunit ribosomal RNA", at positions 335 to 632 of the family's 1533-position model. The record is from RNAcentral.